CGUCCCUUAGCACACUGUGCUGGAAGAUAGGCUUAGAAUCAGAAGAGAUCAUUUCCAGGUAUCCCAAGAUUAGCUCCAAUUAACAGCAGUGAUCUUCUUCCACGUCAGUGAGGGAUCUUCCUCUGUGGGGUGCAAAGAUUAAGGCAGGAUCUCUCUGGUAGAGGCGAGCCUUAAACCACUGGCAUGCGCCACCACUCCUGGCUCUAGAGAGGGUGUCUCCACUUCAGUUACCUGCACAGAAGGCAGAGCGCUGCGAUGGUGAGGGUGACGAGGACCGCCAGGGCCACGAAUGCUGCCGACAGGUUACUUCUGCUUUGGACGCUGGCGCUUGGGAGAAAAACCUCUUCGCAACGAGCUCCUGUGUAAUUCUCAAUGCACCUAUGGGAUAGAAGUUCAGAUAAAGAUCAAACCUGUUCCCUGCACGUAUGUGGACAACACAGAGAGUUCCCAGCCGGAAUGAAGGGAAAGGCCUCUACAUUUCAGUCUGUGAAUAUGGAGCAGAUAGGCUUGAAAUGACGCUCAAAGAGCCGCGGGUAGAGACAAAUGCAUUAUCAUACACCUGCCUCCGUCUCUUUCCAGCUCGUCAGCAGCUUAGAAUCGAGAGGAACUAGGUAGUAUUCAGACUCCAUGUGCAAACAGCGUCGAUGCCUUCUAGGCUUGUCUUGUCUUCCUGCCAACUUUUGCAGAUGUGUCGUCUUUUGAUACUGUUCUAGUUGUCCUCAACCCCCUGACUCAAAUGAUCCUCCUGCCUCAGCUUUCCCAGUAGCUGGUGCAUACCACCAUAGCUUAAAGUCUGCAUUUUCAAUGGUGUAACUGUGAGUAUAUAACUCAAAUUCAUCUGCAAUUUAUUGUAUUUUACAUAGACAUAAAUGAAUGCAACUCUUCCUCAAAAUUCUUGUUUCUUCCAAACUCAGAGUUGUUGAGUAUGACAUCCCUUCCCUACUGCUCAGCAGUGCCUUCUGGAACACACGUCAGCUUUAUAUGACUAAGAGCAUUUCUAUUUUUCUUCAGAGACAGCACAAAACAGCAAGGGAUACCACAAGGCAGCCAGCUCCUUUCCCCUCUUAACACACUCAAGGGAUUAAUAUACAUUAAUAAGAAUUAUGCU
Long non-coding RNA from Arvicola amphibius (Eurasian water vole), 1108 nucleotides. RefSeq lists it as uncharacterized. NCBI's taxonomy places the organism in Eukaryota, Metazoa, Chordata, Mammalia, Rodentia, Cricetidae. The record is from RefSeq and is a predicted model, not a curated record. The transcript is spliced from 3 exons.